UAUGGAUGAUGAUGAUGAUGAUGAUGAUGAUGAUGAUGAUGAUGAUGAUGAUGAUAUCAACAACACCAUCACACCAACAACAUCAUCAAGAUGU
RNAcentral lists this microRNA precursor (94 nucleotides) under Guillardia theta CCMP2712. Its description in RNAcentral is "microRNA mir-598". Lineage: Eukaryota; Cryptophyceae; Pyrenomonadales; Geminigeraceae. The record is from RNAcentral.